RNAcentral lists this ribosomal RNA (500 nucleotides) under uncultured bacterium. RNAcentral's name for it is "partial 16S ribosomal RNA". It matches the Rfam family "Bacterial small subunit ribosomal RNA", at positions 30 to 523 of the family's 1533-position model. The record is from RNAcentral.
AUUGAACGCUGGCGGCAGGCCUAACACAUGCAAGUCGAGCGGAUGAGAGGAGCUUGCUCCUCGAUUCAGCGGCGGACGGGUGAGUAAUGCCUAGGAAUCUGCCCAGUAGUGGGGGACAACGUUUCGAAAGGAACGCUAAUACCGCAUACGUCAUACGGGAGAAAGUGGGGGAUCUUCGGACCUCACGCUAUUUGAUGAGCCUAGGUCGGAUUAGCUAGUUGGUAGGGUAAAGGCCUACCAAGGCGACGAUCCGUAACUGGUCUGAGAGGAUGAUCAGUCACACUGGAACUGAGACACGGUCCAGACUCCUACGGGAGGCAGCAGUGGGGAAUAUUGGACAAUGGGCGCAAGCCUGAUCCAGCCAUGCCGCGUGUGUGAAGAAGGCCCUCGGGUCGUAAAGCACUUUAAGUUGGGAGGAAGGGCUUACAGCGAAUACCUGUGAGUUUUGACGUUACCGACAGAAUAAGCACCGGCUAACUUCGUGCCAGCAGCCGCCGUAA